RNAcentral lists this ribosomal RNA (506 nucleotides) under uncultured bacterium. RNAcentral describes it as "partial 16S ribosomal RNA". It matches the Rfam family "Bacterial small subunit ribosomal RNA", at positions 30 to 523 of the family's 1533-position model. The record is from RNAcentral.
AUUGAACGCUGGCGGCAGGCUUAACACGUGCAAGUCGAGCGGUAACAGAGAGAAGCUUGCUUCUCUGCUGACGAGCGGCGGACGGGUGAGUAAUGCCUUGGAAUCUGCCUAGUAGUGGGGGAUAACUUGCCGAAAGGUAAGCUAAUACCGCAUACGUCCUACGGGAGAAAGGAGGGGACAUUCGGGCCUUUCGCUAUUAGAUGAGCCUAGGUCGGAUUAGUUAGUUGGUUAGGUAAUGGCUCACCAAGACCGCGCUCCGUAACUGAUAUGAUGGGAUGAUCAGUCACACUGGAACUGAGACACGGUCCAGACUCCUACGGGAGUCAGCAGUGGGGAAUAUUGGACAAUGGGGGGAACCCUGAUCCAUCCAUGCCGCGUGUGUGAAGAAGGUCUUAGGAUUGUAAAGCACUUUAAGUUGGGAGGAAGAGCAAUUAACUAAUAUUUGACUGUUUUGACGUUACCGACAGAAUAAGCACCGGCUAACUUCGUGCCAGCAGCCGCCGUAA